Molecule: long non-coding RNA, 1281 nt
Organism: Scylla paramamosain (green mud crab)
Lineage: Eukaryota; Metazoa; Arthropoda; Malacostraca; Decapoda; Portunidae
Exons: 4
Source: RefSeq, a predicted model, not a curated record
GUGCUUGUAGCUCACUUUAAAUGGUUUUAGAAAAUAGUUCAGAUUUUUUAAAGUGUUUUCCGUUAUGUUUAAGCCAGAAUGGGUGGACAUUUGAACGAUUUUGAAUGGGGUGAAGGUUCCAACAGUUUCCAGAUACUUCUUUUUAAAUAUCUUUAAUACUACUGCGUUUUGAAAUGUGUUGUUAUUUGUGGCAUUCGUUAAAAUGUGUGGCAAGUCUGAAUUUAUAAAGCAUUCCUGUCUAGCUGCGUUUUUUAGAGGGGUCAUUUUCAAAAUGAAAUACGUACGUACGUAAAUAACGCUCGCUGUGACGUCAUCAACCCCCCAGCCGUGGCUCACAAGUCCUCCCAGCCGUGACGUUAUCAGAGUGGUACCUUCCCUAACUCCCUUCCAGUCCCUCCCAGUAAAUAUUCAGUGUUUUUUUUUCAAGUGAGAGAUGGGGAGGAGGAUCUAAAAGAACAUGUUUGCAGUGCGCUGUCAGCCCUCACCUGCGCCGCCUCCCCCAGUGAGCGGGUGUAGGCCUGGGAAUAGAACAUAUGCAGACGUCUUGGCAGUGCUAUUUAUGUCUGUUUGUUGAUGCUCAAGAAGGAACGUAGCAAAAGUUUAAGACUACCUGACAGCCACUGGUGCACAGUAGACUGGAUGUGGUGGUGCUGGCACUGAUCAGAGGCACACAGGCCACCCGGAGGCCAGUGUGAGGGCUCAGAUUCACCAGCAGCACAGCACUUCCAUCAUCAGGCUCACAGUGUACACCAGGAGGGAUGGGAAAGAGCCUGAGGAACACUCAUGAGGUGCCGUUUCCAUGUCUGCACUUAACCCGGUCUUUCUUUCGCUUAAUGCACAGUCUUUGCUGACAGUACCCCAUCAUCCCUCCCUGAAGUCAUCCUAAACUUUUACAUUGCUGUUGGGAAAGCUCUGUGAUAUCCCAAAAUUUUAUUGUUCUAUUGGCAAAGUUUUAUAUUAUGAGCUUCUAUAUUUCUAUUGGCAAAGGUUUAUGAUAUCCCAAACUUCUACAUUUCUGAGGGAAAAGUGGUUUUACUUAUGAUAGCUAUGUAAGGAAGAUGUUAUUACAAAAAUAGUAAGUUGAGUAGAUGAAAAUAAAUAUACGAGGUCUAGGAAACUAAAUCUUUCCUGUAAAUGCUCCCAAUACAAAUUUUGUCAUACAUGACCAGCAGCAGAAUGUAACUUUUGUGUUCAGCAAGGGACAACUGUACAAUAUGGUGUAUAUUUGCAGAUCCUACAACUUGUCAAAAUUCUUUCAUUAAUAAAUACAUCAAAAUCUUA